RNAcentral lists this ribosomal RNA (425 nucleotides) under uncultured bacterium. RNAcentral describes it as "bacterial SSU rRNA". It matches the Rfam family "Bacterial small subunit ribosomal RNA", at positions 359 to 776 of the family's 1533-position model. The record is from RNAcentral.
GAAUAUUGGACAAUGGGCGCAAGCCUGAUCCAGCCAUACCGCGUGGGUGAAGAAGGCCUUCGGGUUGUAAAGCCCUUUUGUUGGGAAAGAAAAGCAGUCGGCUAAUACCCGGUUGUUCUGACGGUACCCAAAGAAUAAGCACCGGCUAACGCCGUGCCAGCAGCCGCGGUAAUACGAAGGGUGCAAGCGUUACUCGGAAUUACUGGGCGUAAAGCGUGCGUAGGUGGUUGUUUAAGUCUGUUGUGAAAGCCCUGGGCUCAACCUGGGAAUUGCAGUGGAUACUGGGCGACUAGAGUGUGGUAGAGGGUAGUGGAAUUCCCGGUGUAGCAGUGAAAUGCGUAGAGAUCGGGAGGAACAUCCAUGGCGAAGGCAGCCCCCUGGGCCUGUACUGACGCUCAUGCACGAAAGCGUGGGGAGCAAACAGG